GGGUCAGUAGGUUGGUCGUGCCACCGGUACGUACUGGUCUCACUGAUUCCUCCUUCCUGAUGAACCGUAAUGCCAUUAAUUUGGUGUUGCGGGGAAACAGGACUGUUACUUUGAAAAAAUUAGAGUGUUUAAAGCAAGCUAACGCUUGAAUACAUUAGCAUGGAGUAGUGAAAUAGGACGAUCGAUCCUAUUUUGUUGGUUUCUAGGAUUGACGUA
Molecule: ribosomal RNA, 216 nt
Filed under: Glomeromycotina sp.
Lineage: Eukaryota; Fungi; Glomeromycota
Description: partial small subunit ribosomal RNA
Rfam family: Eukaryotic small subunit ribosomal RNA (bases 40-216)
Source: RNAcentral